This 406-nucleotide ribosomal RNA is filed under the name uncultured bacterium. RNAcentral describes it as "partial 16S ribosomal RNA". It matches the Rfam family "Bacterial small subunit ribosomal RNA", at positions 30 to 526 of the family's 1533-position model. The record is from RNAcentral.
AUUGAACGCUGGCGGCAGGCCUAACACAUGCAAGUCGAGCGAGAGGCGGACGGGUGAGUAAUGUAUGGGGAUCUGCCCGAUAGAGGGGGCUAAAUACUGGAAACGGUGGCUAAUACCGCAUACUAUGCGAUGCACCAAUAGGGGAUUAGCUAGUAGUGGGGGUAAAGGCUCACCUAGGAGACGAUCUCUAGCUGGUAUGAGAGGAUGAUCAGCGAAACUGGGACUGAGACACGGCCCAGACGCCUACGGGAGGCAGCAGUGGGGAAUAUUGAACAAUGGUCGCAAGCCUGAUGCAGCCAUGCCGCGUGUAUGAAGAAGGCCUUAGGGUGGUAAAGUACUUUCAGCGGGGAGGCGUUACCCGCAUAAGAAGCACCGGCUAACUCCGUGCCAGCCGCCGCGGUAAUAC